RNAcentral lists this long non-coding RNA (713 nucleotides) under Homo sapiens (human). Its description in RNAcentral is "uncharacterized LOC101928045, transcript variant 4 (LOC101928045)". The record is from RNAcentral. Lineage: Eukaryota; Metazoa; Chordata; Mammalia; Primates; Hominidae.
GCUUACUGGGUCCUGAAUCGGCUGCGUGCUGUUCUAGGUGGGGACUUGAGAGACUGUAGAUGGGUCUAGGGAGUGGUCGAAUAUAAAUAAGCUAGAUUUUUUUUUUUUUAAUUGCAAGGGAACUCCCUAGGAAUUCCAUCCAUGGCCUUGUGGAACGAUCUGCCAAAGAAAAAAUAUUUAUCUCUCCUCGCUGUGUCACCCAGGCUGGAGUGAAGAGGUGCGAUCUCGGCUCACUGCAACCUCCGCCUCCUGGAUUCAAGCAUCAGCCUCCCUAGAAGCUGGGAUUAUGGGUGCCGGCCAUCACACCUGGCUAUUAUUUGUACUUUUAGUAGAGAUGGGGUUUCGCCAUGUUGGCCAGGCUGGUCUCGAACACCUGACCUCAAGUGACGCACCUGCCUUGGCCUCCCAAAGUGCUGGGAUUACAGGCACGGGCCAUCGUGCCCGGCCUUGCUUAAAUACCUUCUACCCCUAAACUCUAUUAGGUGUGGCAAACGGGGGUGGGCACUGGUGAGUGUGUUUAUGGAACUGCUGCCUGAAGAAAAGCUCAGGUGGGUCUGGGCUCGGCUCCUGUUCAACUCUGUGGGAAUCCUUCACCUUCAUGUCCCCAGCAGGAGCCAGCAGGAGGGUGCAUGUGGAUGGAAGACAACGGAUGCACCUAAAGCCCUCCUUCUCAACCAGCCCUGCAAAUAAAUCGGUCCUAUUCUUCACCUAAA